UAGCAUAUCAAUAAGCGGAGGAAAAGAAACCAACAGGGAUUGCCCUAGUAACGGCGAGUGAAGCGGCAACAGCUCAAAUUUGAAAUCUGGCUCUUUCAGAGUCCGAGUUGUAAUUUGCAGAGGGCGCUUUGGCGUUGGCAGCGGUCCAAGUUCUUUGGAACAGGACGUCACAGAGGGUGAGAAUCCCGUACGUGGUCGCUAUCCUUCGCCGUGUAAAGCCCCUUCGACGAGUCGAGUUGUUUGGGAAUGCAGCUCUAAAUGGGAGGUAAAUUUCUUCUAAAGCUAAAUACUGGCCAGAGACCGAUAGCGCACAAGUAGAGUGAUCGAAAGAUGAAAAGCACUUUGGAAAGAGAGUCAAACAGCACGUGAAAUUGUUGAAAGGGAAGCGCUUGCAGCCAGACUUGCCUGUAGUUGCUUAUCCGGACUUUUGUCCGGUGCACUCUUCUAUAGGCAGGCCAGCAUCAGUUUGGGCGGUUAGAUAAAGGUCUCUGUCAUGUACCUCUCUUCGGAGAGGCCUUAUAGGGGAGACGACAUGUAACCAGCCUGGACUGAGGUCCGCGCAUCUGCUAGGAUGCUGGCGUAAUGGCUGUAAGCGGCCCGUCUUGAAACACGGACCAAGGAGUCUAACAUCUAUGCGAGUGUUUGGGUGUCAAGCCCAGACGCGUAAUGAAAGUGAACGGAGGUAAGAACCCUUUGGGUGCAUUAUCGACCGAUCCUGAUGUCUUCGGAAGGAUUUGAGUAAGAGCAUGGCUGUUGGGACCCGAAAGAUGGUGAACUAUGCUUGAAUAGGGUGAAGCCAGAGGAAACUCUGGUGGAGGCUCGCAGCGGUUCUGACGUGCAAAUCGAUCGUCAAA
Molecule: ribosomal RNA, 854 nt
Filed under: Chaetosphaeronema clematidis
Lineage: Eukaryota; Fungi; Ascomycota; Dothideomycetes; Pleosporales; Phaeosphaeriaceae
Description: partial large subunit ribosomal RNA
Rfam family: Eukaryotic large subunit ribosomal RNA
Source: RNAcentral